Carassius carassius (crucian carp) is the source of this 214-nucleotide long non-coding RNA. RefSeq lists it as uncharacterized. The transcript is spliced from 2 exons. Lineage: Eukaryota; Metazoa; Chordata; Actinopteri; Cypriniformes; Cyprinidae. The record is from RefSeq and is a predicted model, not a curated record.
UCAAAGUCCGGUUCGUGACUCUGGAACGUGCUGUAGACAUUAUACUCACCCGAUUCUCCCAGCUCUUCAGAUUCACUUUUAGACUGCAAUGACCACUCGCCCCCCCUUAUCCCCUGUGGCCAGCAGAUCCCCCGUCUGGUUAAACUCCACUGUAGAAAUGACAUCAGCUAAAAAGAAAGAAAGAAACAGUUUUUGGUUGAUUUUUUCAGUGAAA